This 873-nucleotide ribosomal RNA is filed under the name uncultured Staphylococcus sp. RNAcentral's name for it is "bacterial SSU rRNA". It matches the Rfam family "Bacterial small subunit ribosomal RNA", at positions 522 to 1397 of the family's 1533-position model. Lineage: Bacteria; Bacillati; Bacillota; Bacilli; Caryophanales; Staphylococcaceae. The record is from RNAcentral.
AAUACGUAGGUGGCAAGCGUUAUCCGGAAUUAUUGGGCGUAAAGCGCGCGUAGGCGGUUUUUUAAGUCUGAUGUGAAAGCCCACGGCUCAACCGUGGAGGGUUAUUGGAAACUGAAAAACUUGAGUGCAGAAGAGGAAAGUGGAAUUCCAUGUGUAGCGGUGAAAUGCGCAGAGAUAUGGAGGAACACCAGUGGCGAAGGCGACUUUCUGGUCUGUAACUGACGCUGAUGUGCGAAAGCGUGGGGAUCAAACAGGAUUAGAUACCCUGGUAGUCCACGCCGUAAACGAUGAGUGCUAAGUGUUAGGGGGUUUCCGCCCCUUAGUGCUGCAGCUAACGCAUUAAGCACUCCGCCUGGGGAGUACGGCCGCAAGGCUUAAACUCAAAGGAAUUGACGGGGACCCGCACAAGCGGUGGAGCAUGUGGUUUAAUUCGAAGCAACGCGAAGAACCUUACCAAAUCUUGACAUCCUUUGACCGCUCUAGAGAUAGAGUUUUYCUUCGGGGGACAAAGUGACAGGUGGUGCAUGGUUGUCGUCAGCUCGUGUCGUGAGAUGUUGGGUUAAGUCCCGCAACGAGCGCAACCCUUAAGCUUAGUUGCCAUCAUUUAGUUGGGCACUCUAAGUUGACUGCCGGUGACAAACCGGAGGAAGGUGGGGAUGACGUCAAAUCAUCAUGCCCCUUAUGAUUUGGGCUACACGUGCUACAAUGGACAAUACAAAGGGCAGCGAAACCGCGAGGUCAAGCAAAUCCCAUAAAGUUGUUCUCAGUUCGGAUUGUAGUCUGCAACUCGACUACAUGAAGCUGGAAUCGCUAGUAAUCGUAGAUCAGCAUGCUACGGUGAAUACGUUCCCGGGUCUGGUACAAACCGCCCGU